RNAcentral lists this ribosomal RNA (450 nucleotides) under uncultured bacterium. RNAcentral describes it as "bacterial SSU rRNA". It matches the Rfam family "Bacterial small subunit ribosomal RNA", at positions 328 to 795 of the family's 1533-position model. The record is from RNAcentral.
GUGCCAGACUCCUACGGGAGGCAGCAGUGGGGGAUAUUGCACAAUGGGGGGAACCCUGAUGCAGCGACGCCGCGUGGGCGAUGGAGUGCUUCGGCAUGUAAAGCCCUAUCAGCAGGGAAGAAAAUGACGGUACCUGACUAAGAAGCCCCGGCUAAAUACGUGCCAGCAGCCGCGGUAAUACGUAUGGGGCAAGCGUUAUCCGGAUUUACUGGGUGUAAAGGGAGCGUAGACGGCAAUACAAGUCGGAAGUGAAAUACCCGGGCUCAACCUGGGAACUGCUUUGGAAACUGUAUGGCUAGAGUGCUGGAGAGGUAAGCGGAAUUCCUAGUGUAGCGGUGAAAUGCGUAGAUAUUAGGAGGAACACCAGUGGCGAAGGCGGCUUACUGGACAGUAACUGACGUUGAGGCUCGAAAGCGUGGGGAGCAAACAGGAUUAGAUACCCCCGUAGAU